Molecule: ribosomal RNA, 492 nt
Filed under: Triticum aestivum (bread wheat)
Lineage: Eukaryota; Viridiplantae; Streptophyta; Magnoliopsida; Poales; Poaceae
Description: partial small subunit ribosomal RNA
Source: RNAcentral
AUGUGUGUCCCUGACCUAAGUAUUCUUAGGAGUGCUGUGUUAGGAGAUAAAUCUUAUAAUUUGGGAGCCAUUGUUGCAUGUAGGUUGCAUCAUGAUAGAUUUAAUGGAGAUUUUUUCGGUGGAAUUUAUGCAACCCGUAUAGCUAAUUUUCUUGGUAUAACCAUACGUGAGGAUGAUAUUGAGUUGCCUCCUGCUUAUUUGGAUUAUGAGGCUAUGGUUCGUCAUCAUUUUGUUGAGAGGAACGAUCAAUUCCUCCAGUACCGACUAAUCUUUGACAGACGACACACCUAUCACGUCGCUCUCCCUUCUUCUACUUUCUUUGACUUUCAGGCAAAAGGGAGAUAUUUUAUAACCAGAGAGGAGGCGGAAGAGUAUAAGACGAGGGCUGAGAUAGCUCGCCUCCAAGCUGCAACCCACGAUGCAAUGACUACUGCAUCACAGUACGACCCCAGUUACAACUUUGGAUAUCCGCCAGGCCAGCCGUGGCCAUAG